UUCAAAGAGUGCCUCCUACAUUUAAGAAUCAAUUUGCACAGAGCAACUGAGUGAAGAGCCAUAUACAAAGACUGAAGAUUGGAAUCAUCCUUAGUAGAGAGAGGAUUUGCCCUGGAUGUCUGCAGAAAUCCUGAUGGUGUCAUCUGUUAUGCUAGGAAAAAAAUAGAGGGAUUUAUCUGCACAGGGAGUUCUGACUGCCUUGGUGAUGCCCCUGGAAUAUGUAGCUUUUGAAGAAUGCAGAGGACUACAAUAUGUCUUGCAGCUCAUGGGAGAAAAAAUAUGCCAUUUCCCAAAGGCAGUUUAAGGCCCAGUCUUCCAGCAGAAUAUUUUCAAUUUCAUAGGUAUUGGCCACCGAGGGCCUGGAAAUACAGUCAGGAAUUACUGCUGUCCAGAUGUUGUUCUGGGUGAUUCUGCCAGAUUUCCAGCCAGAGUCAUUCAAACACAGUCUAGUAAACUCAUAUAGCCUCUAUAUCACUACAUUCACUGACCUUCCAAAUUGUC
Molecule: long non-coding RNA, 501 nt
Organism: Gallus gallus (chicken)
Lineage: Eukaryota; Metazoa; Chordata; Aves; Galliformes; Phasianidae
Source: Ensembl